This 18843-nucleotide long non-coding RNA is filed under the name Zostera marina. RNAcentral describes it as "long non-coding RNA (ZMAR_LNC000714)". Lineage: Eukaryota; Viridiplantae; Streptophyta; Magnoliopsida; Alismatales; Zosteraceae. The record is from RNAcentral.
AUAUUUAUUCUUGUAGGCCGGAGAUUCAGAUAACCAAAUUCGCUAUCCUUUUACUUAUUCUCUGCAAACCUAACGACGUUAAAGUUUGAUUUUACAAUCACAUUUUUUUCUCUAUUUUUUUAAUUUUUUGCAGGACAUGCUCAUUUCUUUUGAUGGUGAUCUUACAUGUUCAAGAGGAGAAGAUCGAAUUUCAAGAUUUGUACGUACCUGUUGAUCUAAUUAAACCCUCAAAUUUCAUUGUCCUCGAAGAAACUAGAAAUGCAGAAUCUAGAAGAUUGUAUUUUGAUCUCGAUUCAUUAUUUUAACGUGUAUGUAGGGUAGACAAUCUCGACCUUUGCCAUGUUGGGUGCGCUCGCAUGGCAGGUCACCUAAUAAAGAAGAAUCACUUUUUUUGGGUUGGGAGAGGAGAUCGCAUGGGAAUUGGGAUGAUAUAUUAAUUUCCCCCCAUUUUGAUAGUCCCAGGAUCAUCCUCUCCAAGAUCGGGCUUUGUGUUCUGAUCUUUUCUCCAUGGAUUGUUAUUCUUUCAUUAUCCAUUAUCCUUCCUCCCAUGCAACUUCACUCACCGACAUAAUCGAUUAAAGAUAAUAACCUGAACUCUAACCCUAACCCAUAUCCUACAAACGAGAUAUACAUUGAAUUUAAACUAAUUACGAUCUAUGAGUAAUCCGAUCCCACAAAAUGAAACGAAUGAGUUGCUAAUCUUCAAUUGAUCACCAUUCAAAUCGUCAAUCAAGGUAUAGCGCUCAUAUGCUUUCCAUUUCGCUUCGUAUAUAUAUAUAUACAUUUCGCUUCAUAUAUAUACAUUUCGCUUCGUAUAUAUAUAUAUAGCUUCAUUUUUUAUAAUUCAAAAAAUAAUAUUGUGAGAUUUAUAUUUAAAGAUAAUUGUGUUACUCCAGAAGAAUAUUUAUUUAUUUAAUUAUUAGAAUUGUCUCUAGAUGAAUAAUUACUGUUUUUUUUGGGAGAAAUGGAGAUAUUGUAUAUCACACACACACAUAUAUAUAGGGUCAGAUUCAGAUGAGAUAAGGGUUCAUGAGAUAUUAUGUGAUCAUGACCCCUCAAGUAAAAAUUUCGAUUUACCGUUUGAUGAAAAUCCGAAGGCUGAUAUGACAAAAUCUCAUGGACUAUUGUCUCAUCGAUCUAAUUUUUAUCCCAUGCAUAUUUGAUGGAUGAUAUUGCUCGCGAUCGGGAAACAAAACUCUGGGGUGAUAAUAAAGAGGCCGCGGGUAUGUUGCAUUCGAAGGUGCAGAAGAAAAUAAAUACUAUGGACUUCUGACUUAGGUAUAUACUUAUCUCAAAACAAUGUGAUUGAAAAAUUGACAAAGGAAUGCAAAAUAGAACAUUUAAUUUAAAAUAUCUUAAUUAACAUUAUUUUUGUAGAAUGAAGAAGUUGGUAAUCGAUAAAGUUUGAUUAUUGCGAUGUUUGCAAGGCUACCCAUAGUUCGACUAUAUAAUUGAAGGCCGUUGGUAUUGAAAUCAACGAUCCCAUACAUUUCUUGUACUUGGAGCAAGAGAUUGUACAUUAAUCAAUCCCAAAUUAUUGAAACUCUAAAGUGGCGACUUUGCCUAACCCCAAGAGAUCGACGAUGAGUAAUGUAAAAUUAGCCACGGAUUUAAUCAAAGGGCUUUGAAAAUUGGUUCUGAACACAAGUCUUAUUUCUUGUUGUGAUGGCAAGAAAUAUAUAAGAAAAAUUAGGGUUUUCAAAAAUUAUUAUUUAUUUACUUUGAAAAAAAUCAUAUACUUGAUAAGUGCUUUUUAUAUUCUUUUUUUGUUUAUAAACAAAAAUUCUAACUUAUUUUCUUUGCAUCCAUUUUGUAUUGAAAAUCACUACAAAAAAUAAGAUACUGUGAAACAGAUUACUGACGAAUUAAAGAUGAUCGAUGGUAGAAAUCUCUUGUAUUCAGGACUAUCACCAAAAUACGAGUUCUAUCACUAAUAGACCGUCGACAAAAGAGACUCCAUGAUUCUCACCUAAAAAGCAGAUUUGAAUUUCGUGGUCAAAAUCCACCACUGAUGAUAUUUUUUCAACGAGUAGUAAAAAAAUUCCGAAAUUUUUAUACAUUAAAAAUUUAAUUUAUAAAUUAAUAAUAGAAGAUAAUUUAAUUAUGAGUAUUUUGAGUUCUGAAUAUAACUUUUUUAUAUAUAUGGUUAAUUUCUAACCAUUUUCAAAAUAUUGUAUCACUAUAAGAAAGAAAGUUAUUUAAAAUAAGGAUUGGUUUUUAGUGAGAAUGGUUAUAAAAUAAUGGGUGAGAAUGUAAAUCUCAUCCAUCCAUUCUUAUGGGUAUAUAUGUAUACUUUUAUAUAUUUGAAAGUAUGAGAGACCAACCUCCUGAGACCACGUAUUUAGUUACUGUAUAACUAGACUACAUAGCUAAUGAAAGAGAGUCAAUGAGUUUCUUACUCGUUCUUUUUAAUAAAUUUAAUUGCUUUCAAAAAAAAACUUUUAUAUAUUUUAUUAUUAUUUGAUUUUACCGUUGGAUUAGAUUUUGUCGGUCAAAUGAAUUCAUUCUCAAAUAGUGUUGAAAUAAGACUUUCUCAUGUGAACCUUGCCUUUUAAAAUAAUCCAACACCUAUAAAAAUGUCCCAUUCUAAAGAGACUUUAGUUGUUUUGCAAUCCCUGGACUGGGUUAAGUUGUUGAUCGAUCAGAUCUAGAGCAUUAACUAAUUAACUGAUAAUUCAGGGAUCUGACUAUCUGAUUUCUUGAUUUAUGAGCAAGGAUCUCACUAUUGGGAGCGACAUCGUCUCUGCUUGGGAAGAGAUGACAACGACAAUUGAUUCAUAGUAUGAAUCGAGCCCUCCAAGGACAUAAACGACCACUUCCGAUGUCUCAGUCUUGACUCUGACAGUUCGUAAAUCGUCAACUAGCCUUUUGAUUUUGGUUAGAUACUCAUCAAUUGGAGAGUCACCUUUCUUGAUUUGUUGCAAUUGCUGUCUGAUUUGCAAUAUCCGGGAUCCAGAAGUGCAUGCAUGCAUUUCUUGGAGUUGUUUCCAAGUUACGUCGGAAGUUUCAACGCCGGCAACCUACGUGAGGAUGUGUGACUGGAACGAUGAGAAGAUCCAUCCCAGUAAAAGCUGAUCUUGCUGAAUCUUCAGUGUAUCAUCAAGGAUGACUGAACCAUCUACAUAAGAUAAGAGGCCAUAUCCCUUCAAGAGCGUGCUGAACUACUUCCGCCAAGUGAAGAAAUUCGUUAUGGCGAGUUUCUAUGCUUGCAGGUACUUGAUUUUCACAAGUUUGGAAGAGCUACCGACGUUCAUCAUGGCGAUUUGCAGAAUAAGUACCCAAUCGUUACCUAACAAUCUGAUACCAUAUUACAAUCAAUGAGCUUGACUGAAUUCAUUGUAUUUCACACUCCUCAAUUAAUACAUGUUUCUAUAUAUCUAUUUAUAAUAGUAUUCAAUUAAAUAACUAAUUAAUUGAUAAUCCAGUUAUUAUUUUUUAAUACAGGGAACCUGGAUGCCGCCCAGGCCCCUAGACCCAAGAGGUAGUUCUAGAAGUACAUGCAUGAAUCUUAGGGGAUCAUGCAUCAUCUGUUUCCUUAUGUCUUGCGAGAAUUAUUCUUUAACUCCGCCUUUGGCAAAUUGCCAUUGCCGGUCCCCAGCCCGGAUCAAAGGAGGAGGGAAGGAUUAUUUAAGAUAACCAUUAUUUGGAUCAUUUCUUCUCAUUUUGUAUUUUCGUGGUUGGGAUCACAAGUGAACGCAAUCGAUCUUAACAAUUUACAAGCUAACCAUAAAGUUUUGAAGUAUUUGCUGAUCACACAAGUCUGAAGUAUAUAUUUAGAGUUAGGGUUAGUAGUCAACCGUGAAAAAGACUACAUAAUAUCUUUUAAAGAUGAUAUCUUUAAAAAAGAAUGUGACUCACAAUUGGAAAGGAAAAGACAACCCUCCUGAGACCCAAUUCUAACUAGAGCACUAAGAAGGAUAGCUAUAUAAGAGAAGGUCGAUAUAAUGGGAAACCACAAUAUCAAUCCCAUCACAUUUUUUUUCAUUUGUAUUUUAGGGCAUUGUCUUUCAUUAUCUUUAAUGAAAACUUUUAAUAUUUGCAAAAAAAAAAGCACACGAGACAUAGACGAUAUUUGAGUUUGUAAAAUAUCAAAACUUAGUGUGAAAUCACCGGAGUUGAGUGAGAUCACCGGACUUGAGUCAGAAUGGAAUGUGAUUUAUUCAUUGAUAUUGAUGAGUUUAUAUAGUAUUGAUUUACAACUAACUUAUAACUAACUAUCUAAAUAUCUUUGUUUUGACCCUCAGGCCCGACGACUAUACUCGUCAAGAGAUGUUCGAUUUAUAGAAGAGGACUUCAUGUUAAAUAAAAGUUUAUGGAAAGAGGUAAAUGAACAUUUUCCAGAUCCGGUAAAAGUGAGCUCCCCACCGAUUGUAAGUCAUCCGAAUAUAAUCAUUCAAUCAAUAUCCGGUCAUAUUGUGCAAUCAGGCAGCCAAGAUACUACUCAACCAUAAUUGGAAAUAACUAGUCCAAUUGAAUCAUCGGAUGAAUCAGAAGUAGUACCCGAAGAAGAAAGGCAGGAAGAAACAGAGAGCACUAACAACCAAGUUAUACAACCUAUGCUAACCAGAAGUGCGAAAGGAAUUUUCAAGUCAAAUCCUCGGUAUGCUCUAACGGUAGCAGCAAGUACCAUAGAUAACGAUAUGCUCUAAUGAUGCCGGAGUUGAGUGAGAAUGGAAUGCGAUUUAUUUAUUGGUAUUGAUGAGUUUAUACAGUAUCUAACUCAUAACUAACUAUCUAAAUAUCUAGUUAGUUAUCUAUCUUAACAUAAAAGAUUUUAAAUUUGAAUUGACAUACAUAAGAGUUCAUUCAAAUCAUUCAUACUUAUCACUAACUCUAAAUCCACAGGACUUCCUCACAUUGAUUUAUUUGGAUCAACCCAAACCUAAAGUUUUUGAGGAAAAAGAUUGAUAUAUGCAAAAUAAAAAUAUUUUAGGAAAUCCAUAUUAAAUCAACUUUCAACUAAUUUCUAUUUUAAGUUUGUUAACAAUAACCUUUAAAACUAUUGAAUUUUAUAUAAAAAAAGUCAUUUCCCAUAAAAAAAGCUAUCUAUUUUUAUGAACCUAUUGUUUGGUUUCUAUAUUUAAGAAUCCACCCCCUAUAUAUUUAUUCUCCUAGGCCAGAGAUUCAGAUAUCUGAAUUCACUAUCAUUUGAUUUGUUAUUGGUAUUUGUUUUUCAAUCACAUUUUUUAAAUUUGUUGCAGGAUAUGCUUAUUUCUUGUGUUGGAGAUCUUACAUGUUCAAGAGGAGGAAAAUUUUGAGAUUUGUGCGUACCAUCUGAACUAAUUACAUCGUCGUAGAAGAAACUAGAUGAUUGUAUUUUGAUCUCGAUUCAUUAUUUUGACGUGUAUGUAGGGUAGACAAUCUCGACCUUUGCCAUGUUGGGUGCGCUCGCAUGGCAGGUCACCUAAUAAAGAAGAAUCACUUUUUUGGGUUGGGAGAGGAGAUCGCAUGGGAAUGGGGAUGAUUUUACUCCCUUUUUGAUAUUCCCAGGGUCAUCCUCUCCAAGGUCCGACCUCUGCAAGGCCGGACUCUGUGUUCUCUUUUCUGUUUGUCUUCUUUCAUUAUCUAUUAUCCUCCCUCCCAUGCAACUUCCCUCACCGACAUCAUCGAUUAAAGAUAAUAACUCGUUCGUGCCCUCUUAAUCGUUAAAAUCAACGAUCAGCGAAAUCAUUUAUAAUCAUAAAAACGAGGUAUAGAUUGAAUUUAAAUCAAUUACGCUUCUACGACGAUUAAUCAAUUAUCGUAAAAUGAAUCAAAUGAUUUGGUUGUUGAUCAAAGUAAUUAACGUUCAUUUCGAAAGCCGGUUUAUGAUUUUAAUUUCGCUUCACAUAUCUUCAUUUUUGGAUGAUUCUGAUUAUAUGAUGGAUGAUAUUGUUCGCGAUCGCGAAACGAAACUCCGUGAUAAUAAAGAGGGCAUGUUGAAUAUAUCUGCUCGAUUAUCUCAAACGUCAAUAAAGGAAAAUCAAUUGCUAAAAGUUAAUCGCGAUUUUAUAUCUUCUCUUUGUAAGUAUGUUUUAAUUAGUUAAAUUUAUCAUUUUUCUAUAUUUAAACAUGAAAUAAUAUAAUUUAUCAAUUUUAUACACAUGAUUGAUAAGAAAAGAUAGAAGAUUCGAUCAUGGCUAAGGUAUUUAUAUUAAGGCAUUGAAAGAAGUUUCGUGAAAUGAAAAGAUCGAUGAAGAAAUGCAUACUUUCAGUUAAGCCUAUUUGAUCCAACUAAUGUUAUUAGGUCAAUGGCAACCUUGUUAUUUUAUCCAACUUUGAAGGUAUUUAUUAAGUUGAUAUAAAAUAACAUAAGUACGGUUGUGGAAUUGAAACACGAACACAUCAAGAGCAACUAUGGAAGCUUGGGCUAGAAUGCUCCAACCGGCAUCAAAUUAAUAUUUUGUUUAUUAUUGUGUUAUAAUUUAAAUUCAGUAAGAACUUGUGUUAAAAGGGGAAUGUAAUACUUAGGCUAAGGGUGGGUCGGAAUUCAACUAAAAAUAGAAUUCUGACUCACAAAAGCAUCGGAAUGAUGGAAUGACCUAACAAGUCACAUCCACCGGACCCCCUAUCUCAUAUGAGGUAAGAUUCCUUGUGUAAGUAUAAACGAUAUGAGGAAUCACUUACAAAGUAGUGGACCGAAAGGUGAUGGCAGGGUUUUCCCUAGGAAAAGAAAAAGAUGUCAGUAGCACACUAGGGUUUUUUCACCCAACCAUUGUCCAAGGCCCACUACGUAAGAACGAUAAGGCAUAGAUCAUUCUAGGAAAUAUUGAGUCGAUCAGUCCCCAAAGAUUGUUGAAGGCCUAAACGAUCGUAAGAUCACUUGGCUGGAUCAAUGCGGAGGGUGUGAGGUAGAUCGCAUGUAAUCACACCUCUUUUUUUGCUUUGAGAUCUAUAUAUUGCAGGAUGAUUUUAACUCAAAAAAAAGGAAUUGAAGCAUGAAGAAGGGAGGAGGAAAGAAGAAAGGAGAGAAAAAAAGAGUUUUAUAUUUAUAGAUAUCAAUGUUGAUUGAUCAUAAAACAUUGUAUUAUUAUUUUUAUUAGUUAAUUUGUCUGCGUAGUUAACAAAAGUGAAUUCGUCAACAAAAGUGAGAAGUGGAUGAAAAUCGAUCCUCUGUAUUUAGGAUUACCACCUCAUCAAUAGAUUAAGACCAAAUUCGAUUUCAAUGUUACAACCUCAAACCUCGAACCAGUAACCUUUAAUAGUUAAUGAUGAAAGUGUUUUUGAAAUACUUUCAAUAGGUCUGUCAAUAGAUAUCCGAAAUUCGUGUUCGAAUUCAAAAUCGAAUUUAUUUAGGUUUAAUGAAAUUCAAAUACUUAAAAUACUAUCUAAAGUUAAAUGAAUUCAAAUACUCCUAAACGCAUUCGCAUAAUUAUCCAAAUUUGAAUAAGUAUAUAAAUAUAUAAUAAUUUUUACAUUUUCUAAUAUAAUGUAAUAUAUAUUGUGCUGGAUUUAUAUGUUUAAAGUAUUACAGAAGUUUUUAUUAAAAAAUAAGUAACAUAUUAUUUUUAGUAAAUGUUAUUCGAACCGAAUCCGGAUAUCCGUAUUCGGAUAUUUUAAUCGAAUUCGGAUAUUGAAUUUAAAAUUCGAAUAAUAAUCGGACGAAUUCGGAUUAUCUGGAUACUAAACGAAUUCAGAUACAAGGGUAUCCGAACUUAAUUCGUUCGAAUGACAGACGUGGACACGGAGACGACAUGGUCAGACGGAGACUGGGGAAAAUCACCGGGGGAGUGACAUCGCUUGGGGGGGGGUGUUUGUUUGGGAGAAGAAUAGAGAGAUAUAUUGGAGUAACUAAUAAAGUUAGUUACUGAUAGUUAGAUGGUUAAUGGAAGUUGUUAUUGUAUUGAAACUAGUAUAAAUAGAACUGUAAUUAAUGAUACAAUGAAAGUAAUUCAAUCAAGGGUGAAGGUAGUACGUACCAUCACUCCACGUUUUGUGAUCUCGAGUUCUUAUUCCGUUCAAUAAGAUGUCAGUGAGAGAGAGUGAGUGAGAUAUUUUUAGGCGAGAGUGAUAUAAGAAUAUAACUAGAAUACAGGGCAAAUAAGCAAUUUACCAUAAGAAACAAGCUUAAGACGUAAAGAAAUAUAAAUAACCCAAAGGUUAUGACAAAACAGAAUAAACUGUUUUGUUAUAAACUAACAGGGGUUCUUUUAUAAAUGUUUCAAUAAACGUUAUUUGAACCUAAGCGUAAUUAAAAGAAACUAAAGGUUUUCGUAAUAUAACUGAGAUCUAUAAAUACAAGGAUCGAAUUGUAAAAAUUUCAAUUACCAGUUAUAAUUAAUUUAAGGACUGUUAUGCAAAUAACACAAAACUAAAUCAGGUCAAAUAGACCUGAUUGAUAUUACUAAUAAGUUUGUAUACUUGUGCAGAAUUGUUACAGCUAAUCGGGUUUGGAUCGCACUCGGACUCGGAUCAAGUUCCAGCACAAAUAAAUUAGAAUUAAGAAAAUUAGUUACAUUUUUAGCUGUUAACAGUUUUGUAAUAUUUGUAUAAAUAAACGUGAUUAAGAAUUAAUAAUCACUCAAUGUUUUUACAAGUUAAUCAAUAAAGAAAAGAGAUUAACUAAAGAGAAACAUUUUUCUUUUCACCCCCUUUCUUCUUUCUUUCUUAUUUCACGUCCGGUAGUUAAUUCCGGUUCUCCCCAAAAUACGUUGGGCGGAAAACCCUAACUCCGAUCAGCCUCUCCAGUGGUUGAAAAGCUUCCAGACUCCGGGAAGAUCAUACAUUGCAGCAGGCGACGCCUCCAGUGCAAAAUUUAAUAAGUGACAGUUGUCACUAAUCUAAUGUAUGGUUUUUUUUAGACAUAAUAUUACACUUUGUGUCACAUUAAGUCACAAAUCAGAUUUUUUUUCACUCAUUACUAAGAUAAAUGGUCCACAAUCAUCCAUCAUUCCAUCUCACUCUCAAUUUAUUUUCAAAAAAUGGAUGGCUCAAUUUCAGAGAGAUUUUUAGCGUUUUUUCAUAAGACUUAUAGGAAAUUUAUUCUAUAAUAAAUAAAAAAGAAACUAGGGUUCAUGAACCUUUAUAGUUUAUACUCCUUUUUCCGAACCCACGUAAACCUCCUAUAAUUAGAAAGUCCCUCCUCCAUAUUAGAUUUAGGGUUACCAAAUAUACAGACCUGCGACUCUAUUCGUUCAUCGUUCUCACCGUCGUUGAGAUCCUUCGUUGAUUCGUACGAUCGAGAUUCUUCCCCACACAGGUUAGUCUCGCUCUCUUGAUCUACUACCUUCAUCGUCUCUUUCUCAAUUUCUUCUUGCCACAGAUCUUCUCGUGUUGUUAUCUCCUACAGUUUCUUUCGAUCGGGUGUCCUCAGUUAUCGCGUGCGUGGAUGUCUAUCUGCAAUGUAACAAUAGCCUGUGAAGUUGAAAAUUAGUUGAAUGAGUUUUUUGUUUUAGAAGAACUCCAAGUUUCUCUAUUGGAAAUCAUUUUUACUUCAUUUGAAAACAAGAAGAGAUGAUGUUAUAUUCAUGUGAGUUGUUUCAGUAGGAAUAAUGAAUGGAUCUCAUGAUUAUGAUUUUAAAUAUGUUGUGAUUGGUUGUAACACAAGAUUCAUCUAAUAAUCAAACAAACUUUUACUAAGAUUUUUACAGAUUUUUUUACAUAGAUUCAUCUACACAUUCCAAAUCCAUACACCAUAUAUAACUACUACUACUGCCAAAGGAUUAUUGCUAGCUCCCUGUUGAAAAAGAAAUCGUUGUCAUAAAAUAUUACCACUAACGUUAGAAUCCGAAGCAGAGACCAGUUAGGUAGAUGAUGCGACUGGGGACGAUGCUUACAAUGGAUGACGAUGACUGCUAGAUGUUUGAUAAAUGUGUUUCUUGUUCACUUAGUAAUGUCAUAAACUGUUUUUUCUUUGAUUAUUCUGUUACUAAACAUUUAGAAUUAAUAUUCAGUGAUGUUUUGGGGCCUAAUCUCUCCACACCUCAUCACAAGGUUUUAGAUAUUAUGUGAACUUUUUUGAUGUAUUCAUCGAAUUCAUUUGCAUUUUUCCAAUUCAAUGUAAGUCAGAGGUUUUUGUAAAAUUCAAUGAUUUUAAAAUAAAAGUUGAAAAUCAAUUAGAUCUCAAAAUUAAGACCUUACAAACUGAUAAUGGUGGAGUAAUAUUUUCCAAACUGAUGAAGCACUGAAUCUUCUACCAGGGCUCGCGGUGGUGCGAGGUGAUGCCGGAGGCUCUGGAGUCCACAACGCGCGCUCUACGUCAAAUACCUGCAAGUAGAAACUAGGCGAUUCUAGUGAGAAUCGGCGAGUUUCUUAGUGAUGCUCUGGUGAGAGUGGAACUUGUGUUGUGCCUUUGAGUGUCCCCUUGGGACCCUUUUUAUAGGGUCUCGGAGGGCGCGAUCAAAGGCGGAUAUCGCGCCUAUUGCCAUAGAUGGGAGCAUUUAUGGCGUUGGCUGGCGGCGAGUAACGGUCGUAAGUCGGUGAUUCAGGUAUGGAAAUCGCCUAUUUAGGGCAAACUCGCCGAGUUUCCAGGGGCGAGAUGUGCAGUCUACCAUACUGCCGAUCUGGGCCCUAACUCGGCGAUUUGUCCCUAAAGUCGGCGACUUGGUAGUCCAAUCGUGACUUACGGGUUAACUCUGCGAUUUGGACGAUGAACUUGUUCCGCACCGUGGGAGCUCUCCGGGGGUCCGGCGUAAAGCGACGGAACCCUAGUCCUUGUUGAAAGGCGUUGCUGGGAGUGACUGCCGUAAUCAGGCAUGUCUCACCACAAACUUUCUUAAAUAUCAAAUUAAAUUUUUUCAAAAUAUUGAUAUUUCGAACUACUAAAGUAGCGACAUCUUGGGAUGAAAAAAUAUGAAUAUUUUCAAUUUUUCUCAAAAUUAUAUCUGCACACAACACAUCAUUAGAAAUUGAAGAAACUAUUUGGGCUCUGCCAAGCCCAAAUAUGAAGAUUUCGCAGGUCCUAUGUUGUUGUUGAAUAAGCGAUCAUAGGAGUGAAAGUCGGAGAGCACACACGCGAUCGAUAUUUGGGCUUGACAGAGCUAAGAUUAAACAACAAUUAAUUUAUUAAUAUGUAGAGAAAAUGCGAGAUGAUAAAAUACAGUGUAUAAUCAACGAGAGAGAGCAGAGUAAAAGUUAGGAUUCCAGAGGAACGAAGAUAUAUACUCACGAGAGCGGCAGCGAGAGUAGAAAAAAAACUGCCAGAACAUCUAACAUAUAAACCCUAGAAAACAAUUUAUACCUAAGGUUUUUUGACCUAAUCUGUGAUUAAGAUAAUCAUAGGGAUAUAAGAGCAAUUAAGUAUAAAAUAAAUUUUAAUAUAUCGGAUUGGGCAUAUUGGACCCUUAACAAUAUAACAUAUCAUUAUAAGAAAUUAAAGAUUUCAACGUAUUAAAAUUUUCAAUUGUUUGAUUACUCGAACAUUCGUAAUUUUAUUCGAAUGAUUUUCGUUUUUUCUCCUUCCAAAAACCGAGUUAAUUUUCUAAUCCUAUUUAAUUAGUAGUUAUUAAAAAGGUUAUAAUAGUUUUUUUAACUUUGAUUUUUUCUUUAAUUUUUCCAUCAUUAAUGUAUAUGUAUAAUUUUCUCUUUUUUCGUCAAAUCAAAAAAUUUGAAUAUUUUAAAUUAAAAAAAAUGUUAACAUCUCUUGAAAUAUCAUAAAUGCAUUCACAUACAUUUUUCGAAAAAAAUUAAAUAUAUAUGAUUUUUUAUCAAAAAAUGUAAACGAUUUCGUAUCAAAAAUUGUACACGAUUUCGUAUAAAAAAUGUACACGAUUUCGUAUCAAAAAAUGUACACGAUUUCGUAUCAAAAAAUGCACACGAUUUUAUAUAAUAAAAUGUCCAUGAUUUGUAUUAUAAAAUGUACGUGAUUUUGUAUUUAAUUAAAAAUGUAUACAAAAUCGGAUUUCAUGGGUGAAAAUAUUCACCCGAACCCAAACCUGACAUGUUCAGGUUAAAUCUAAUCCAUGCCAACCCCUAGUUUUGAUCCAUUUUUUUUGAAAAAAUGACUUGGCGGUGUGAGAAAAUAUUAACCAGUUCCAAAUUUUUCCGAGGGCGACCUUAACCAGUUCCUAAUUUUUCUCCUUAUAGAAUCAACUGUGGACAUAUAUAAAAUCAAAAUAAGAUGAACAUAUAUAAAAUAUAUAUAAAAAAGUCAUUUGCCAUACAAAAGUUAUCUAUUUUUAUGAACUUAUAUCUAUUUUUUCGUUGUGUGAUUUGUCACCAUAUAUUCCAUAGACAAUUUCCAUAUUUAAGAAUCCACCCACCAUAUUUAUUCUCCUAGGCCGGAGAUUUAACCAAAUUCGCUAUCCUUUUACUUAUUCUCUGCAAACCUAACGACGUUAAAGUUUGAUUUGUUGUUGGCGUUUGAUUUUACAAUCACAUUUUUUUCUCUAUUUUUUUAAUUUUUUGCAGGACAUGUUCAUUUCUUAUGAUGAAGAUCUUACAUGUUCAAGAGGAGGAGAUCGAAUUUCGAGAUUUGUACGUACCUGUUGAUCUAAUUAAACCCUCAAAUUUCAUUGUCCCCGAAGAAACUAGAAAUGCGGAAUCUAGAAGAUUGUAUUUUGAUCUCGAUUCAUUAUUUUGACGUGUAUGUAGGGUAGACAAUCUCGACCUUUGCCAUGUUGGGUGCGCUCGCAUGGCAGGUCACCUAAUAAAGAGGAAUCACUUUUUUUGGGUUGGGAGAGGAGAUCGCAUGGGAAUUGGGAUGAUAUAUUAAUUUCCCCCUAUUUUGAUAUUCCCAGGAUCAUCCUCUCCAAGAUCGGGCUUUGUGUUCUGAUCUUUUCUCCAUGGAUUGUUUAUGUUCUUUCAUUAUCCAUUAUCCUUCCUCCCAUGCAACUCCCUCACCGACAUCAUCGAUCAAAGAUAAUAACCUGAACCCUAACCCAUAUCCUACGAACGAGGUAUACAUUGAAUUUAAACUAAUUACGUUCUAUGAAUAAUCCAAUCGUACAAAAUGAAACGAAUGACUUCCUAAUCUUCAAUUGAUCACCGUUCAAAUCGUCAAUCAAGGUAUAACGCUAAUAUGCUUUCCAUUUCGCUUCGAAUAUAUAUAGCUUCAUUUCUUAUAAUUCAAAAAAUAAUAUUGUGAGAUUUAUAUUUAAAGAUAAUUGUGUUACUCCAUAAGAAUAUUUAUUUAUUUAAUUAUUAGAAUUGUCUCUAGAUGAAUAAUUACUGUUUUUUUGGGAGAAAUAAAGAUAUUGUAUAUCAUAUAUAUAUAUAUAAUUAUAUAUAUAUACAUAGGGUCAGAUUCAGAUGAGAUAAGGGUUCAUGAGAUAUUAUGUGAUCAUGACCCCUCAAGUAAACAUUUUGAUUCACAGUUUGAUGUAAAUCUGAAGGCUGACAUGACAAAAUUUCAUGGACUAUUAUCUCAUCGAUCUAAUUUUUACCCCAUGCAUAUUUGAUGGAUGAUAUUGCUCGCGAUCGGGAAACAAAACUCUGGGGUGAUGAUAAAAAGGCCACGGGUAUGUUACAUUCGAAGGUGUAAAUGAAAAUAACUACUAUGGACUUCUGACUUAGGUAUAUACUUAUCUCCAAACAAUGUGAUUGAAAAAUUGACAAAGGAAUGCAAAAUAGAACAUUUAAUUUAAAAUAUCUUAAUUAACAUUAUUUUUGUAGAAUAAAGAAGAUGGUAAUCGAUAAAGUUUGAUUAUUGCAAGGUUUGCAAGGCUACCGAUAGUUCGACUAUAAUUAAAGGCCGUUGGUAUUGAAAUCAACCAUCCCAUACAUUUCUUGUACUUGGAGCAAGAGAUUGUACAUUAAUCAAUCCAAAAAAUUUGAAACCCUAAAGUGGCUAAACUGACGACUUUGCCUGACCCCAAGAGAUCGACGACAAGUAAUGUAAAAUUAGCCACGGAUUUAAUUAAAGGGUUUUGAAAAUUAGUUCUGGACACAAGUCUUAUUUCUUGUUGUGAUGGCAAAAAAUAUAUAAGAAAAAUUAGGGUUUUAAAAAAUUCUUGUUUAUUUAUUUUUUGAAAAAAUCAUAUACUUGAUAAGUGUUUUUUAUAUUCUUUUUUUGUUAAUAAAAAAAAUAUUCUAACUUAUUUUCUUUGCAUCCAUUUUGUAUUGAAAAUCACUACAAAAAAUAAGAUAUUGUGUAACAGAUUACUGACGAAUUAAUGAUGAUAGAUGAUGAAAAUCUCUUGUAUUCAGGACUAUCACCAAAAUACGAGUUCUAUCAUCAAUAGACCGUCAACAAAAGAGACUCCAUGAUUCUCACCUAAAAAGCAUAUUCGGAUUUCGUAAUCAAAAUCCAUCAUGAUGAUAUUUUUUCCACGAGUAGUAAAAAAAUUCCGAGUAUUUUGAAUUCUGAAUAUAAAUUUUUUUUAUAUAUGGUUUAUAACCAUUUUCAAAAUAUUGUAUCACUAUAAGAAAGAAAGUUAUUUAAAAUAAGGAUUGGUUUCUAGUGAGAAUGGUAAUAAAAUAAUGGGUGAGAAUGUAAAUCUCAUCCAUCCAUUCUUAUGGGUAUAUAUGUAUACUUUUAUAUAUUUGAAAGUAUGAGAGACCAACCUCCUGAGACCACGUAUUUAGUUACUGUAUAACUAGACUACAUAGCUAAUGAAAGAGAGUCAAUGAGUUUCUUACUCGUUCUUUUUAAUGAAAUUUAAUUCCUUUCAAAAAAAAACUUUUAUAUAUUUUAUUAUUAUUUGAUUUUACCGUUGGAUUAGAUUUUGUCGGUCAAAUGAAUUCAUUCUCAAAUAGUGUUGAAAUAAGACUUUCUCAUGUGAACCUUGCCUUUUAAAAUAAUCCAACACCUAUAAAAAUGUCCCAUUCUAAAGAGACUUUAGUUGUUUUGCAAUCCCUAGACUGGGUUAAGUUGUUGAUCGAUCAGAUCUAGAGCAUUAACUAAUUAAUUAACUGAUAAUUCAGGGAUCUCACUGUCUGAUUUCUUGAUUUAUAAGCAAAGAUCUCACUGUUGGGAGCGACAUCAUCUCUGCAUGGGAAGAGAUGACAACGACAAUGAUUCAUAGUCUGAAUCGAGCCCUCCAAGGAUAUAAACGACCACUUCCGAUGUCUCAGUUUUGACUUCGGCAGUUCGUAAAUUGUCAACUAGCCUUUUGAUUUUGGUUAGAUACUCAUCAAUUAGAGAGUCACCUUUCUUGAUUUGUUGCAAUUGCUGCCUGAUUUGCAAUAUCCGGAAUCCAGAAGGGCAUGCAUGCGUUUCUUGGAGUUGUUUCCAAACUUCGUCGGAAGUUUCAACGCCGGUGACUUACGCGAGGAUGUCUGACUGGAACGAUGAGAAGAUCCAUCCCAGUAAAAGCUGAUCUUGCUGGAUCUUCAGUGCAUCAUCGAGGAUGACUGAACCAUCUACAUAAGAUAAGAUGCCAUAUCCCUUCAAGAGCGUGCUGAACCACUUCCCCCAAGUGAAUAAAUUUGUUCGGGCGAUCUUCUCUACUUGCGGGUACUUGAUUUUCACAAGUUUGAAAGAGCUACCGACGUUUAUCAUGGCAAUUUGCAGAAGAAGUGCCCAGUCGUUACCUAGCAAUCGGAUACCAUAUUACAAUCAAUGAGCUUAACUGAAUUCAAUGUAUUUCACACUCCUCAAUCAAUACACGUUUCUAUAUAUCUAUUUAUAAUAAUAUUCAAUUAACUAACUAAUUAACUGAUUAAGCCAUUAACUAAUUAACUGAUAAUUCAGUUAUUGAUUUUUAAUACAGAGAACCUGGCUGCCGCCCAGGCCCCCAGAUCCAAGAGCUAGUUCUAGAAGUACAUGAAUCUUAGGGGAUCAUGCAUCAUCUGUUUCCUUAUGUUUUGCAGGAAUUGUUCUUUAACUCUGCCUUUGGCAAAUUGCCAUUGCCGGUCCCCAGCCCGGAUCAAAGGAGGAGGGAAGGAUUGUUUAAGAUAACCAUUAUUUGGAUCAUUUCUUCUCAUUUUCUAUUUUCAUUGUUGGGAUCACAAGUGAAAGCAAUCGAUUUUAACAAUUUACAAGAUAACCAUAAAAUUUUGAGGUAUUUGCUGAUCACACAAGUCUGAAAUAUAUAUUUAUAGUUAGGGUUAGUAGUCAACCAUGAAAAGGACCACAGAAUAUCUUUUAAAGAUGAUAUCAUUAAAAAAGAAUGUGGUUCACAAUUGGAAAAGACUACUAUGUAGAUUUGGAAGACAACCCUCCUGAGACCCAAUUCUUAACUGCAUAAGAGAUGGUCGAUAUAGUGGGAAACCACAAUAUCAAUCCCAUCAUUUUUUUUCCAUUUGUAUUUUAGGGCAUUGUCUUUCAUUAUCUUUAAUAAAAACUUUUAAUAUUUACAAAAAAAACCACACGAAACAAAGACGAUAUUGGAGUUUGUAAAAUAUCAAAACUUAGUGUAAGAUCACCAGACUUGAGUGAGAAUGGAAUGUGAUUUAUUCAUUGGUAUUGAUGAGUUUAUAUAGUAUUAAUUUACAAUUAACUCAUAACUAACUAUCUAAAUAUCUUUGUUUUGACCCUCAGGCCCGACGACUAUACUCGUCAAGAGAUGUUCGAUUUAUAGAAGAGGACUUCAUGUUAAAUAAAAGUUUAUGGAAUAAGGUAAAUGAAAAUUUUCCAGACCCGGUAGAAGUGACAUACAUAAGAGUUCAUUCAUAUCAUUCAUACUUAUCACCAACUCUAAAUCCACAGGACUUCCUCACAUUGAUUUAUUUGGAUCAACCCAAACUUAAAGUUUUGGAGGAAAAAGAUUCAUAUAUGCAAAAUAAAAAUAUUUUAUCGACACUAAAAUAUCCUUUUAUAUAAGGGAAAUCCAUAUUAAAUCAUUUUUCAACUAAUUUCUAUUUUAAGUUUGUUAAAAAAUAGGGGAAAUUCCUUUACAAUAUAUAAGGGAAUAUCCGUUAAAAAUAGUUAAAAAAUCCGUUACAAUAUAUAAGUCCUAGUAUUUGUAACGGAAAUAGCAAAGUUAAUGGAAAUUCCGUUACAAAUUCCGUUAACUUUGAUAAUAAGUAUUUGUAACGAAAAUUCCGUUAAGUUUGCUUCGUCCGAACUGCCUACUUUUUUUUGUAGUGACAAUAACCUUUAAAACUAUUGAAUUUUAUAUAAAAAAGUCAUUUCCCAUUAAAAAAGCUAUCUAUUUUAUGAACCUAUUGUUUGGUUUCCAUAUUUAAGAAUCCACCCCCUAUAUAUUUAUUCUCCUAGGCCGGAGUUUCAGAUAUCUGAAUUCACUAUCAUUUUACUUGUUCUCUGCAAACCUAAUGAUGUUUAAAGUUUGAUUUGUUAUUGGUAUUUGAUUUUUCCAUCACAUUUUUUAAAAUUUGUUGCAGGAUAUGCUCAUUUCUUGUGUUGAAGAUCUUACAUGUUCAAGAGGAGGAAAAUUUUGAGAUUUGUGCGUACCAUCUGAACUAAUUACAUCGUCGCAGAAGAAACUAGACGAUUGUAUUUUGAUCUCGAUUCAUUAUUUUGACGUAUAUGCAGGGUAGACAAUCUCGACCUUUGCCAUGUUGGGUGCGCUCGCAUGGCAGGUCACCUAAUAAAAAAGAAUCACUUUUUUGGGUUGGGAGAGGAGAUCGCAUGGGAAUGGGGAUGAUUUUACUCCCUUUUUGAUAUUCCCAGGGUCAUCCUCUCCAAGGUCCGACCUCUGCAAGGCCGGACUCUGUGUUCUCUUUUCUGUUUGUCUUCUUUCAUUAUCCAUUAUCCUCCCUCCCAUACAACUUCCCUCACCGACAUCAUCGAUUAAAGAUAAUAACUCGUUCGUGCCCUCUUAAUCGUUAAAAUCACCGAUCGGCGAAAUCAUUUAUAAUCAUAAAAACGAGGUAUAGAUUCAAUUUAAAUCAAUUACACUUCUACGACGAUUAAUCAAUUAUCGUAAAAUGAAUCAAAUGAUUUGGUUGUCGAUCAAAGUAAUUAACGUUCAUUUCGAAAGCCGGUUUAUGAUUUUAAUUUCGCUUCACAUAUCUUCAUUUUUGGAUGAUUCUGAUAAUAUGAUGGAUGAUAUUGCUCGCGAUCGGGAAACGAAACUCCGUGAUAAUAAAGAGGGCAUGUUGAAUAUAUCUGCUCGAUUAUCUCAAAACGUCAAUAAAGGAAAAUCAAUUGCUAAAAGUUAAUCGCGAUUUUAUAUCUUCUCUUUGUAAGUAUGUUUUAAUUAGUUAAAUUUAUCAUUUUUCUAUAUUUAAACAUGAAAUAAUAUAAUUUAUCAAUUUUAUACACAUGAUUGAUAAGAAAAGAUAGAAGAUUCGAUCAUGACCAAGGUAUUUAUAUUAAGGCAUUGAAAGAAGUUUCAUGAAAUGAAAAGAUCGAUGAAGAAAUGCAUACUUUCAGUUAAGCCUAUUUGAUCCAACUAAUGUUAUUAGGUCAAUGGAAACCUUAUUAUUUUAUCCAACUUUGAAGGUAUUUAUUAAGUUGAUAUAAAAUAACAUAAGUACGGUUGUGGAAUUGAAACACGAACACAUCAAGAGCAACUACUAGUGGAAGCUUGGGCUAGAAGGUUCCAACCGGCAUCAAAUUAAUAUUUAGUUUAAUAUUGUGUUGUAAUUUAAAUUCAGUAAGAACUUGUGUUAAAAGGGGAAUGUAAUACUUAGGCUAAUGGUGGGUUGGAAUUUAACUAAAAAUAGAAUUCUGACUCACAAAAGCAUAAAGAGUUGGAUUGAUGGAAUGACCUAACAAAUCAUAUCCAUCGGAACCCCUAUCUCAUAUGAGGUAGAGUUCCUUGUGUAAAUACAAACGAUAUGAGGAAUCACUUACAAAGUAGUGGACCAAAAGGUAAUGGCAGGGUUUUCCCUAAGAAAAGAAAAAGAAUAUGCCAGGAGCACACUAAUGUUUUUUCACCCAACCAUUGUCCAAGGCCCACUACGUAAGAACGAUGAGGCAUAGAUCGUUCUAGGAAACAUUGAGUCGGUCCCCAAAGGUUGUUGAAGGCCUAAACGAUCGUAAGAUCACUUGGCUGGAUCAAUGCGGAGGGUGUGAGGUAGAUCGCAUGUAAUCAUACCUCUUUUUUUCUCUUUAAGAUCUAUAUAUUACAAGAUGAU